RNAcentral lists this long non-coding RNA (1301 nucleotides) under Mus musculus (house mouse). RNAcentral's name for it is "RAB10, member RAS oncogene family, opposite strand". Lineage: Eukaryota; Metazoa; Chordata; Mammalia; Rodentia; Muridae. The record is from RNAcentral.
AGAAGCGGACAAGCAAACAGCGGAUGUGCAGUUCCUCUCUUCGCCGAACCCGGUUUUCCCUUUCGGAGCAGCGCGACCGAUUUCCGGUUUCCCCGCCGCAACCACCGUUACCCCCCCCCCGCCCCAAUCCCCGGCGACUCCAGCGACGUCACCGGUUCAGCUCCUGACCUUUCGGCGAACCGCAGAACCACAGGCGACCCGUUCGACGUCAUCACUCCCCGCCCAGAUGUCGCUGUGACAUCACCCCGCACGUGCCUGCGCUGGCACCGCGUCGUCCUGGCGAGCGCCUCCUCGCGGCGGAAGGAGAUCCUGGGGUUCGCUGUGCGAGACAUGUCGGCGGGGUUUCACGUGAGUGACACUUGGUCCCCACGGGAUUGACAGCGACUAGCGGAGUGGCAUGUGGACGUAGCUUCAGGUGACCUCACUGACCCCGCCCCUGACUCCACCCCUUGUGAUGACCCCACCACUGACCCACAGGCCUUGGAGGGGCUGAUCCUGGAGAAGUCAAAGGACCAGGAGGACGCCAUGGGGGGUGCUGUACAGGCUGAGCAGGAAGCAGAGCAGCACAGCGUCAUCAUGAGGGUAGCCAUCUUCACCUGGGGCAUCCACGGAGGCCCUGCCCAGGAAGUGACUUUCUCUCUACUGUAGGAGGAGCUGAUCCACGACUACUUGGACAACAGCACACCAGCGAAGGAUGGAUACCCUCCUAUACAGUUGUUAGAAGCAACCCUCCAUCUCCAACUCCAAAAAUAAAUGAAAACCAAACCACACAGUUGGAAAUCAGGGGUCUGCAACAACACAAGGAAGCAAGCAACCCGUGAGAAAGCACUGGCAUGGAUGAAAACAGACUCACUGGAAAGAUGCAAAGCAAUGUCAGGUUACACAACAAAAGGCAAUUACAGUCAUAUGAGGGAGUGUUCGAAAAGUUGUAAUUUGAAAACUGUUUUUGGUUGUCCUUUAGUUGGCCUCCUCUGUAAAUUGUGACAGACAUCUCCUGACAACACUUAAAGCAUCUCAAACCAUCCUUGCCCUGAUCUAUGAGUUCUCAGAACAGAAGGACUACUGAGCCAGGCGUGGUAGCACAUGCCUGUGAUCCUACAACUCAGAAGACAGAAGAGGAAUUCUAGGUCAGCCUGGGCUAGACAGACAGCAAGACUCUUGUUUUGUUUUGAAAGGCUGGUGAGGUAGUUCAGCGGGUUAACUGCCUGGUCUAAGCCCAGUGACGUGAGUUUGUGUGCUGUGGAGCUUCUGCAAACCCUGCCCCUGCCAAAUAAAAACUCGUAAUUUAUAACUCACAAAAA